GGGAGCUUGCUCCUGGAUUCAGCGGCGGACGGGUGAGUAAUGCCUAGGAAUCUGCCUGGUAGUGGGGGAUAACGUCCGGAAACGGGCGCUAAUACCGCAUACGUCCUGAGGGAGAAAGUGGGGGAUCUUCGGACCUCACGCUAUCAGAUGAGCCUAGGUCGGAUUAGCUAGUUGGUGGGGUAAAGGCCUACCAAGGCGACGAUCCGUAACUGGUCUGAGAGGAUGAUCAGUCACACUGGAACUGAGACACGGUCCAGACUCCUACGGGAGGCAGCAGUGGGGAAUAUUGGACAAUGGGCGAAAGCCUGAUCCAGCCAUGCCGCGUGUGUGAAGAAGGUCUUCGGAUUGUAAAGCACUUUAAGUUGGGAGGAAGGGCAGUAAGUUAAUACCUUGCUGUUUUGACGUUACCAACAGAAUAAGCACCGGCUAACUUCGUGCCAGCAGCCGCGGUAAUACGAAGGGUGCAAGCGUUAAUCGGAAUUACUGGGCGUAAAGCGCGCGUAGGUGGUUCAGCAAGUUGGAUGUGAAAUCCCCGGGCUCAACCUGGGAACUGCAUCCAAAACUACUGAGCUAGAGUACGGUAGAGGGUGGUGGAAUUUCCUGUGUAGCGGUGAAAUGCGUAGAUAUAGGAAGGAACACCAGUGGCGAA
This 649-nucleotide ribosomal RNA is filed under the name Pseudomonas aeruginosa. RNAcentral describes it as "bacterial SSU rRNA". It matches the Rfam family "Bacterial small subunit ribosomal RNA", at positions 74 to 719 of the family's 1533-position model. The record is from RNAcentral. Lineage: Bacteria; Pseudomonadati; Pseudomonadota; Gammaproteobacteria; Pseudomonadales; Pseudomonadaceae.